UUUCCCUUUUUAUUUUCUUUCUUGCUGUCAUCAAUUAUAGAUUCUGUUGAAAGUUUGUCCAUUUUGCUUCAAUUUUAAUUCUCCUACUCUUUUGCAUAAUUUUUUGCUAAAUUUUUAACAUGCAUGUCAGUAACUCUAUCUGAUCUGCACAUUCAUAUUUGGUGCAUGUAAUUGUAUAGUAUUUUGGGUUACUGAUCGUUGAUUUAUGGUGAAAUUUUAAAUCAUGUAGGCUAAUGAUCGGCUCACUCUUAUUAUAUAGUUAAAUUUAGGGUAAAUUAGAACUACCUUCAACAAUUGCAAAGUCGUACAUUCCUGUGAAUUGGGGAUUUUUUUUUUUUUUAAGAUUAUAUACAUAUACAUAUAUAGAGAUACUUAGAAGGCAUGAAGCAGUAGUUAGAAUUUUAUAUUUUAAAUGUCAGUCCAGUUAGAUGUGAUUGUAUUGUUUUGUCCCAUUUUUACUUUGUUUGUGCACACAUUUGUUAGGAAUAAGAAAUUGAUAGAUUGCAUCCAUUUGUUGGUAAUGGAAGUUUGGUCGAAAAUCGUCAAAUUUCAUAUCAAUUUGAUAGUUUCUUACUAAGAUUAUACGUAUAUGUCGAUAAUUUCUAUUUUGCACUUGUAUGUUUAGAAAUAAACAUCUAGGUGCACAUUUGGAUUCUUCUACGUCAUAUAGUUCUUGCUGGAUUUGAUUGGGUAGAAUGAAAUUUUGAAAGUGAAUUAGAUCUUUUCCUAUGUAGGGUGAAUUUGGUAUAGUAUAAGCAAAAUCCAAAAGUUAAUUAAGAAGACGAGGAACCAAAAUACUUACGUUGGCCACCCUUUGUUUUCCUCGGUAUGUGUUUCUUUUGCGUGGUUGCGAUACAACUUGUGAAGAAUUCUUGUGUUGUUUUGUUUUUAGUUUAUUUUCCUUGUGUCAUCUUUGAUUUAUAGCAUUACUGAGGUAACAACAUGUUGGUUUCAAGGGUGCUAGCAAAAUUGUUGCUUGUUCUCCGUCUGCCGAAGUUGGUUAGUCCUUUUGACAAUUUUACGCUCUCUCCAUCUGUGGUUUUCUUAUUGACGAGUUCGUGUCAGUGUUUUCCAUUCUGUAAUUUCAUUAUUCUUUGUUUUUAUCUCUUUACCGUAUUAAUUCUUAACUGAUCUUGAUCAUUUUAAACUCGAUUUCUUUCAUCUACAUUGCUUGAUUUGGGUAAGUUGUACUGGGUUUUAGUUAUUCUUGUUAGUGUGUUAGUAAUAUUUAUUUUCCAAUGUUAAUCAGUUAGCAUUACAUAUAAAUAGAAUGGAAGAAAUUGUAUGGAAUCAGAGGAGAAUUUAGAGCACCAGUGCAAAUAUUGGCCCUAAUCGAGAAAGAAGAAGUAAGAAAAGCGGGCAACCAAAGAACAUGAAGGGUGGCCUUCUUUCCUUGCUAUCCAUAGGGGAAUCAAGACAAAUGUUAUGCCAUCAGAUUACUACCAUUUUGCCCUUCAGGUGCCAUGAAAAUAAGGUGAUAAAAUUUAUUUUUUGAGCUUACUUUUGUAUCCCUUGUUUAUAUUAAACAAUUGGAUAAAUUUGAAGAAUCGUGGGAAGAAGAAUUGUUGAGCAUUCAAAUUGCUCUUGAUUCACUGGUGCCUCAUCUUCUUGGAUGAUUAAAAGAUGCUACUAUAUGCAUUUAAGUUUAAACCUUAGCAUCUUUAUGCAUUUAUUACUCUUUUAUGAGGUUUGUGUUUAUUAAUCUUUUUUAAGAGAGUUAUUAAAGGUGGACUUCUUUUCCUUAUUGAGAUGUUUCUAUAAAUGACCAUGAAGGAGGAAGGUGCUUAUAGCUAAAAUUUUUGUAAGAAGACUUGAAAAGUCGACAUUCCCUAUACACAGAGUAAUCUAUUCUCUAUUAAGGAGGUAGUUAUACACAAACACUAAUGUCAUCAAUUUAAUUUAUAUGGCUCGUGUAUGUUUUUCGAGGAGCUAAAUUUUUUGAAAGCCUUUAAUAUUCGAUAACUACUGUAACUUCUCCAGCUCUACUUUUGAGACUUCAAGUUCAAUGAAAGUGUACUGGAACUACAUUGUCUUUUAAUUUGUAGCACCAAAAUGAUAGACUUUAUAAGUGAUUCGAUGAUGGUUACUGGACUGUUAAAGGUAAUAUAGUUUUCAUAACUGUUUGGUUGAGUUAUCAUGCUAUAACAGAGAUAUUUCCAAUAAAAAAAAUGACCAAUAUGUUAAUGCAUAGAGAUUAAGAUGAUUCUUAUUGGAUAGGUUAGAGAUUAAAAGAUUAAGUAAACAAAAAUGAGAAGAAAGGGAUAACUGGUUGAUACAAAAUUUGUUUCAUCAACCAAAUCCGGCUGAAGAAAAUUGAGGAUUAAUCCUUUGUGGUAAUAUUUGUAGCUUGAUGGCAAUUCUAAAACUCUGGUAAUGCACAAGCAACAAUGAGCUGCCUCUUAAUGAAUAAGUACCCUAACUCAAAGCUAUUUUCAUAUGAGAAUUUCAAUUUUUUAAAGAUAUUGCAUCUUCUGUGAACAGAAGAAAUUACUACGUCGUACAAAUUCUUCUAUCACCUUGACCCUGAGGGAAUUGCGGAACUACUAAACAUUUUGUAAGGUCUCCGCCAAUAGUUGCUCACUGUCUGGUGAUACUAGAAAUGGUUUCAGUUAAUUACUUUUUUGAGCUUCUGAAGUUAUGAAUGGUAUAUAUUACUUACGAGAUCGUUUCUUUCAGGGGAAAUGUGAUAUAGAUGCAGCUUUUCAAUAGUAAUAUGCCUUAUUUUGUCGAGGUAAUUUGGCUGGCAAAACCUUUCUAUUUUAUGUCUUUUAGGGUUAAUGGGGUCCAAAUGGAAUAACAAGAACUAUUGACGAAAAAAAAAGAAUACUUUAGUUGUCCCAAAGGGAGUAUAUUGCUAUAAAAAGCAUUGGAGGCAUAUACGCCAAAUACUUUCUUGCUGCAUCAGUUAUUUCUCUCUAUGAGAUCUUAUUAAAUGUAUUGUGAAUGGUUCUUAGAGGCCAAAAUAGUUGUCAAACUCAUCAGGAAAAAACAUGGAUAUGGAUAUGUCUUCUGAGAAAUUCUUUAUAGUUGGGAGAAUGUUAAUUUUUUUUUUCCUUGGACCCUCACCUAUUCAAGUAAGUUUCUGAUUUUCGUACAAGGGAAAUAUACAGGAAGUCUGAUUCUCCUAGCCUAAUAGAUUUAAAUAAUUUGGUCAAAUCUUCGUCUCCUCAACUUGUGCAACAGCUCCUGUCUCAACUACAAUAUAUUGAUGUAAGCAAAGAAUUGGAAGGUGGAAAAAGUAAGAGGGUUUGUUAUUCAGUAUUGAUGAAAGCAGUAGCUAAUUUUCAUCAGUUUACUUGUUUAUCUUAAAUAUUUACUCUAUUUUUUUUUUAGCAGAACGGUCAAAGAAUGAAUAACAUCAAAUCUUGGUUGUUUACUUCAUGACGGCUAGAUUACAAUAAGCAACAUCAGCUAUAGUGCUCAAGACGUAAAAGUCCUUCCUGAUGAUGUUCUGUUUCAGCCUUUCAGGUUGAAAGCCAUGGAAAAGGUUUUGUACCUCCGGGUUGUACUUGUCAUUUGUGGCCUGGUGUUGGGUUGUCUGACCUUCACAAAGCACUCUUCAUGAUGGAUAGAAGAAUAUUUGUUGGCUAACGAGUCAACUUCGUUAAUCACUGCAAGCUGAACAACUCGGGAUAAAAUAAUUCCUGUACUGUCAUGGUUUACUGGCAAGGCUGCGGAAGAUGAUGAAUCCGAAGAUAUGGAAGAUGUUAUCAAAAAAGAUGGAGAUGAGGAUUAAGAGAAGUGACGGAAAGGUUGUACCAGCUUGGGGAAAAAAGUGAGGUUGAUUAAAUCUACUGCUAAGUUAUUUCUAUAUGAUAAGAUUGUUAUAUUUUUAAAUAGCAUUCUAGCAAAGCAUGCUUUUGAACUCAAAGCUUAUUUUAGACAUUGUUGCCGGCACAAUUUAUUCCCUGAAGCACAUUAUCCAAAUGUAUAGAUCAUAUUGUAAAUUUUAUAACAAAAAAGGAAAAAAAUAA
Molecule: long non-coding RNA, 3974 nt
Organism: Lycium barbarum (goji berry)
Lineage: Eukaryota; Viridiplantae; Streptophyta; Magnoliopsida; Solanales; Solanaceae
Exons: 4
Source: RefSeq, a predicted model, not a curated record